RNAcentral lists this ribosomal RNA (2068 nucleotides) under Staphylococcus aureus. Its description in RNAcentral is "partial 23S ribosomal RNA". It matches the Rfam family "Bacterial large subunit ribosomal RNA", at positions 734 to 2802 of the family's 2925-position model. The record is from RNAcentral. Lineage: Bacteria; Bacillati; Bacillota; Bacilli; Caryophanales; Staphylococcaceae.
CCUUGGUCAGGUUGAAGUUCAGGUAACACUGAAUGGAGGACCGAACCGACUUACGUUGAAAAGUGAGCGGAUGAACUGAGGGUAGCGGAGAAAUUCCAAUCGAACCUGGAGAUAGCUGGUUCUCUCCGAAAUAGCUUUAGGGCUAGCCUCAAGUGAUGAUUAUUGGAGGUAGAGCACUGUUUGGACGAGGGGCCCCUCUCGGGUUACCGAAUUCAGACAAACUCCGAAUGCCAAUUAAUUUAACUUGGGAGUCAGAACAUGGGUGAUAAGGUCCGUGUUCGAAAGGGAAACAGCCCAGACCACCAGCUAAGGUCCCAAAAUAUAUGUUAAGUGGAAAAGGAUGUGGCGUUGCCCAGACAACUAGGAUGUUGGCUUAGAAGCAGCCAUCAUUUAAAGAGUGCGUAAUAGCUCACUAGUCGAGUGACACUGCGCCGAAAAUGUACCGGGGCUAAACAUAUUACCGAAGCUGUGGAUUGUCCUUUGGACAAUGGUAGGAGAGCGUUCUAAGGGCGUUGAAGCAUGAUCGUAAGGACAUGUGGAGCGCUUAGAAGUGAGAAUGCCGGUGUGAGUAGCGAAAGACGGGUGAGAAUCCCGUCCACCGAUUGACUAAGGUUUCCAGAGGAAGGCUCGUCCGCUCUGGGUUAGUCGGGUCCUAAGCUGAGGCCGACAGGCGUAGGCGAUGGAUAACAGGUUGAUAUUCCUGUACCACCUAUAAUCGUUUUAAUCGAUGGGGGGACGCAGUAGGAUAGGCGAAGCGUGCGAUUGGAUUGCACGUCUAAGCAGUAAGGCUGAGUAUUAGGCAAAUCCGGUACUCGUUAAGGCUGAGCUGUGAUGGGGAGAAGACAUUGUGUCUUCGAGUCGUUGAUUUCACACUGCCGAGAAAAGCCUCUAGAUAGAAAAUAGGUGCCCGUACCGCAAACCGACACAGGUAGUCAAGAUGAGAAUUCUAAGGUGAGCGAGCGAACUCUCGUUAAGGAACUCGGCAAAAUGACCCCGUAACUUCGGGAGAAGGGGUGCUCUUUAGGGUUAACGCCCAGAAGAGCCGCAGUGAAUAGGCCCAAGCGACUGUUUAUCAAAAACACAGGUCUCUGCUAAACCGUAAGGUGAUGUAUAGGGGCUGACGCCUGCCCGGUGCUGGAAGGUUAAGAGGAGUGGUUAGCUUCUGCGAAGCUACGAAUCGAAGCCCCAGUAAACGGCGGCCGUAACUAUAACGGUCCUAAGGUAGCGAAAUUCCUUGUCGGGUAAGUUCCGACCCGCACGAAAGGCGUAACGAUUUGGGCACUGUCUCAACGAGAGACUCGGUGAAAUCAUAGUACCUGUGAAGAUGCAGGUUACCCGCGACAGGACGGAAAGACCCCGUGGAGCUUUACUGUAGCCUGAUAUUGAAAUUCGGCACAGCUUGUACAGGAUAGGUAGGAGCCUUUGAAACGUGAGCGCUAGCUUACGUGGAGGCGCUGGUGGGAUACUACCCUAGCUGUGUUGGCUUUCUAACCCGCACCACUUAUCGUGGUGGGAGACAGUGUCAGGCGGGCAGUUUGACUGGGGCGGUCGCCUCCUAAAAGGUAACGGAGGCGCUCAAAGGUUCCCUCAGAAUGGUUGGAAAUCAUUCAUAGAGUGUAAAGGCAUAAGGGAGCUUGACUGCGAGACCUACAAGUCGAGCAGGGUCGAAAGACGGACUUAGUGAUCCGGUGGUUCCGCAUGGAAGGGCCAUCGCUCAACGGAUAAAAGCUACCCCGGGGAUAACAGGCUUAUCUCCCCCAAGAGUUCACAUCGACGGGGAGGUUUGGCACCUCGAUGUCGGCUCAUCGCAUCCUGGGGCUGUAGUCGGUCCCAAGGGUUGGGCUGUUCGCCCAUUAAAGCGGUACGCGAGCUGGGUUCAGAACGUCGUGAGACAGUUCGGUCCCUAUCCGUCGUGGGCGUAGGAAAUUUGAGAGGAGCUGUCCUUAGUACGAGAGGACCGGGAUGGACAUACCUCUGGUGUACCAGUUGUCGUGCCAACGGCAUAGCUGGGUAGCUAUGUGUGGACGGGAUAAGUGCUGAAAGCAUCUAAGCAUGAAGCCCCCCUCAA